This is a long non-coding RNA of Rosa chinensis, 727 nucleotides long. RefSeq lists it as uncharacterized. The record is from RefSeq and is a predicted model, not a curated record. The transcript has 3 exons. Lineage: Eukaryota; Viridiplantae; Streptophyta; Magnoliopsida; Rosales; Rosaceae.
UCCUUUUUUAUAUUUUCCUCCCCAAACUCUCGGUUCUCUCUCCUCCGUGCAACCCUCAGACCCGACGGGUCUCGUCUGACCCGACCCGAGCGAAACGCUCUCCUCCGUCGUCCUUCAGCCCCGGACCCGGCUCCUCCCGAGGUCGUCUCACCAAGCUCAGCCGACCCCUAAGGUUGCCUUGCCCAACCGUUGCCCCUGUCAUGAGAUCGAAACCACCCAGCCACCGAUCGGCUGACCCGGACGGAUUUCCAACUUCCGGCUACCUGCCGGCGGAUUUCUUCCAGUUUUUGGGAUCUUCUCUUUCUCCUGAUCAUCCCUAUAUAAGCCUUGAAGGACGAUUCAAAGUGCGGAGCGAAAGAUCAAGGUUUGAAGCUUUCGACGGCUCUGGUUGAAUCUGGAAAUGUGAUCAGACGACCGAGAUUGAUCUAACUUCCAAGCUUGAUCUAGGACGAUCUAGACCGAAUCUCACUUAACUCCAGGUGAUUGACGGAAUUGUGUGAGCGGAGUAUGGAUGAUUUUGUGCUUGUCUUGGUUUGUGCGAAGACACAGAAGGAUAUGGAGUUGUGGCUUGUGAUCUAUAGUGAUUGGAAAAUGAGUUGGGAUGACAUGAUUUUGGCAACCGCGUUAUGUUGAGGGAAAUGAGUAUGAUUUCCUGGUUGUGCUGUUGAGGUAAAGGAAUAGUGAUCUAAUAGAUUGUGGGACGUAAAAUGAAUUGAGAGACAGAGCA